UAGUGAGUUUGAUCCUGGCUCAGAACGAACGCUGGCGGCAUGCCUAACACAUGCAAGUCGAACGAAGGCUUCGACCUUAGUGGCGCACGGGUGCGUAACGCGUGGGAAUCUGCCCUUGGGUUCGGAAUAACAGUUAGAAAUGACUGCUAAUACCGGAUGAUGUCUUCGGACCAAAGAUUUAUCGCCCAAGGAUGAGCCCGCGUCGGAUUAGCUAGUUGGUGAGGUAAAGGCUCACCAAGGCGACGAUCCGUAGCUGGUCUGAGAGGAUGAUCAGCCACACUGGGACUGAGACACGGCCCAGACUCCUAC
Molecule: ribosomal RNA, 309 nt
Filed under: uncultured Sphingomonadaceae bacterium
Lineage: Bacteria; Pseudomonadati; Pseudomonadota; Alphaproteobacteria; Sphingomonadales; Sphingomonadaceae
Description: bacterial SSU rRNA
Rfam family: Bacterial small subunit ribosomal RNA
Source: RNAcentral